AGAAGAAACCCCCUGUAAUUUUUACCCUUUUUAAUGCAGUCGUGCCACUCAACUUGGAUAAAAUUCCAUUGAAAUGAAGAGGAUAAAGAGUGAGGGUGUUGACGAAAUGGUGGACAGGUAAGAACCGUCUAGCCACUUAAUCAACAACACUAAUGACCUACUGUGGGCGUCGCCGUUCAAUGCUAUCCUGACCUGUUUUUUUUUAUCGAAUUCUUGGCCCCGGCUAUUGCUGCCAGCCCAUAGAUAAGUUGGUUUACUAUUCAUUUAUUUGCACGCAACGUACGAGUGAUUUCAAGAAAAAUGCGCAGUAACGCUAAAGCAAUUGAGCCAGACGCGUGAGCUGAAGAAAAUGUCACAACCAACACAGUGCGCCGUACCGGAGACGACCGGGCAGCUAGACCAUAAAACACCAAAGCGCCUCGAGCAUCAAAAUUGGACUCAAAUUUCUUAUUGACGUAAAGUACGAGGAUUACAGCAUAUCUGCGAUCUUUGCUUCAGAUCCGCAAUUCACUAGCACAGAGGGGAAUGUGAGCUUCAAAAAUCAGUGUUUCAUGCCCAAUGAACGCUCACAUUUCAUCAUUCCAAAUACAAUCGUUGCGAGCGUUUCGGCAUUUGGGAGUCAGUUUCGGAUUCAUUCAGAUUUCCUGAUUGAAGCGAGUCAUAACCUUUGACAUAAGCAACAACGUCCCAUUUUAUUUGCUGUUGCGACACUCCAUCGAGAUAAAAGAAAGUUCUCCCCUACCCACUCCCCACACGUCUAUGUCAUCAGGAUCGAAAAGGACAUUCAGCGUCAUACAGACGCGAGGGUUGUCGCCAUCGGGACUUGACAGCACUUCACUUCAGCGUGCAUUUUGCCCGUCUUUCAACGCCUCAUCAGUGAUGCUUUGUGUUUGCUGUGGAAGAUUUCAUCACCAACCACAACAUCCUCAUUACAGCUGUUGACAGUGAACUAGUGAACUGAAAUUUUCCAAAAAGGUAAGCAUUCUCUCGUCUUCUGAAACUGAGGCAGUUACUUAAGGCAAACAGGUGACACGUUUGGUAGUUUCCUAUUAGGUAAGUUAGGGAAAAGGGAAGGGAGAGAAAGGAAAUCCAAAAUGGCCGACCAUUUGCUAGUUUCUCCUCUUCAAACGUCAGCUAUUAGAAGGGGAGGAUUGAAAAAAGUUCAUUUAAUUCUGGUGCUUCUCUCUAGUUGUGUGUUUACGUUUUGAUCGCCGCCAGGCUGAUACUCUUCCGUUUGUUGCUGUUUUUCAUUUGUUUAAAUGCUUUAACGGGUUCAGAAGUCAAAUGAUGUGUAUUUAAAGAGGAGAACAAUUUCAGAACAGAGAGAGAAUGUUCUGGUUUCCGGUAACCAUUCUAAUUUUGUUGUGGUGAUUUAUUGGGCUGGAUUGCUCAACUAGAAUCCUUACUGGCUGAUUAAAUUCAUGGUUUGAGCCACAAAAUAGGAGAGCUUCCAUCCCAUAGAAUUCACUAUUGGGAUGCUAACCAGAUACGUUAGAACAUUUGCAUUAGGGCCAGUGGCGUUAUUUAUCAAAGACAUGGCCAGUUCCCUGGCGACAACCGCCUUUACAGUUGCAAUGUAAGAUGUCGUAACGUCCUAACCCGCAGUACGGAGUUCUAGCUGUGCCAUCACGACAACAGCAAUCGGUUUUCCUUGUACAUAGCAAGUAGCAACAAUCAGCAUCCAUCAACCAUCAGUCCUUCGUCCACUCCACACGUCAUCGCAAGAACAGCGAAAACAACAGAGAUGCCGCACGUAAGUGUUAUGUUUGACAUGUUUCAAUCUGCCGGGCAUACAACUAAUGGAAUAUCUAUAAAUUACAUUUUGGAUCAAGUUUUGAAGUUUCAAGUUUGUUUUUGUUUUUUUGGGUCGAAAAGGAAUAAAUUUGGCAUCGCUGUUGGCUUUUCUUACAGGCAAGGUAUAGGAGUCUCAACUCCAUCUCGUUCAGGGGCCUGAACGCUUUCAGGCAAAACAUGACGACAACUCCUGUUAGGGUUC
Daphnia magna is the source of this 1996-nucleotide long non-coding RNA. RefSeq lists it as uncharacterized. The record is from RefSeq and is a predicted model, not a curated record. The transcript is spliced from 4 exons. NCBI's taxonomy places the organism in Eukaryota, Metazoa, Arthropoda, Branchiopoda, Diplostraca, Daphniidae.